This 460-nucleotide ribosomal RNA is filed under the name uncultured bacterium. RNAcentral's name for it is "partial 16S ribosomal RNA". It matches the Rfam family "Bacterial small subunit ribosomal RNA", at positions 338 to 795 of the family's 1533-position model. The record is from RNAcentral.
CCUACGGGGGACAGCAGUGAGGAAUAUUGGUCAAUGGACGCAAGUCUGAACCAGCCAUGCCGCGUGCAGGAAGACGGCUCUAUGAGUUGUAAACUGCUUUUGUACGAGGGUAAACGCAGAUACGCGUAUCUGUCUGAAAGUAUCGUACGAAUAAGGAUCGGCUAACUCCUUGCCAGCAGCCGCGGUAAUACGGAGGAUUCAAGCGUUAUCCGGAUUUAUUGGGUUUAAAGGGUGCGUAGGCGGUCGGAUAAGUUAGAGGUGAAAUCCCGAGGCUCAACUUCGGAAUUGCCUCUGAUACUGUGCGGCUAGAGAGUAGUUGCGGUAGGCGGAAUGUAUGGUGUAGCGGUGAAAUGCUUAGAGAUCAUACAGAACACCGAUUGCGAAGGCAGCUUACCAAGCUACUUCUGACGUUGAGGCACGAAAGCGUGGGGAGCAAACAGGAUUAGAUACCCGGGUAGUC